UUCCGGUUGAUCCUGCCGGAGGUCACUGCUAUUGGGGUUCGAUUAAGCCAUGCGAGUCGACUGCCUUCUUCGGAAGGCAGGGCAGACGGCUCAGUAACACGUGGGCAAUCUACCCUCGGGUCUGGGAUAACCCCGGAAAACUGGGGAUAAUACCAGAUAGAUGGAGAGGUCUGGAAGGAUUUUCCGUCCAAAGCUCCGGCGCCCGAGGAUGAGCUUGCGGUCGAUUAGGCAGUUGGCGGUGUUAAGGACCACCAAACCUGAGAUCGAUACGGGCAGUGAGAGCUGGAGCCCGGAGAUGGGGACUGAGACACGGCCCCAGGCCCUACGGGGCGCAGCAGGCGCGAAAACUCCGCAAUGUUCGAAAGAACGACGGGGGAACCCCAAGUGCCUCAUCUUUUUUGAUGGGGCUUUUGCGUAGUGUAAAUAACUACACGAAUAAGGGCUGGGUAAGACCGGUGCCAGCCGCCGCGGUAACACCGGCGGCUCGAGUGGUGACCACUUUUAUUGGGCCUAAAGCGUUCGUAGCCGGUUCGGUAAGUCUUUGGGUAAAUCUUGCUGCUCAACAGUAAGAAUUCCGAAGAUACUGCCGGGCUAGGGACCGAGAGAGGUCGGAGGUACUCCUGGGGUAGAGGUGAAAUUCUGUAAUCCUGGGGGGACCACCAGUGGCGAAGGCGUCCGACUAGAGCGGGUCCGACGGUGAGGGGCGAAAGCCAGGGGAGCGAACCGGAUUAGAUACCCGGGUAGUCCUGGCCGUAAACGCUGUGGGCUAGGUGUGCAUGCUCUACGGGGGCAUGCAGUGCCGAAGAGAAGUUGAUAGCCUACCGCCUGGGAGUACUACUGCAAGGUAGAAACUUAAAGGAAUUGGCCGGGGAGCACCACAGGGGUGAAGCUGCGGU
This 896-nucleotide ribosomal RNA is filed under the name uncultured archaeon. RNAcentral's name for it is "bacterial SSU rRNA". It matches the Rfam family "Archaeal small subunit ribosomal RNA", at positions 1 to 901 of the family's 1478-position model. The record is from RNAcentral.